RNAcentral lists this ribosomal RNA (441 nucleotides) under uncultured bacterium. RNAcentral describes it as "partial 16S ribosomal RNA". It matches the Rfam family "Bacterial small subunit ribosomal RNA", at positions 338 to 795 of the family's 1533-position model. The record is from RNAcentral.
CCUACGGGUGGCUGUAGUAGGGAAUCUUUCACAAUGGGCGAAAGCCUGAUGGAGCAACGCCGCGUGCAGGAUGAAGGCCUUCGGGUUGUAAACUGCUUUUAUAAGCGAGAAAUAUGAUGGUAACUUAUGAAUAAGGAUCGGCUAACUACGUGCCAGCAGCCGCGGUCAUACGUAGGAUCCGAGCAUUAUCCGGAGUGACUGGGUGUAAAGAGUUGCGUAGGUGGCAGCACAAGUCUGGAGUGAAAUCCCGGGGCUUAACCCCGGAACUGCUUUGGAAACUGUGCGGCUGGAGUGCAGGAGGGGUAAGCGGAAUUCCUAGUGUAGCGGUGAAAUGCGUAGAUAUUAGGAGGAACACCGGUGGCGAAGGCGGCUUACUGGACUGUAACUGACGUUGAGGCUCGAAAGUGUGGGGAGCAAACAGGAUUAGAUACCCCAGUAGUC